This 73-nucleotide transfer RNA is filed under the name Actinacidiphila acidipaludis. RNAcentral describes it as "Streptomyces sp. PLK6-54 tRNA-Gln". It matches the Rfam family "tRNA". From Rfam's summary of the family: Transfer RNA (tRNA) molecules are approximately 80 nucleotides in length. Their secondary structure includes four short double-helical elements and three loops (D, anti-codon, and T loops). Further hydrogen bonds mediate the characteristic L-shaped molecular structure. tRNAs have two regions of fundamental functional importance: the anti-codon, which is responsible for specific mRNA codon recognition, and the 3' end, to which the tRNAs corresponding amino acid is attached (by aminoacyl-tRNA synthetases). tRNAs cope with the degeneracy of the genetic code in two manners: having more than one tRNA (with a specific anti-codon) for a particular amino acid; and 'wobble' base-pairing, i.e. permitting non-standard base-pairing at the 3rd anti-codon position. The record is from RNAcentral. Lineage: Bacteria; Bacillati; Actinomycetota; Actinomycetes; Kitasatosporales; Streptomycetaceae.
CGGCAUGUAGCUCAGGCAGGAGAGCACCGGGCUCUGGACCCGGAGGGCGCGGGGGCGGAGCCCGCCAUGCCGG